GGGACUUGGGUCCGAGAAAAACAGAAAAACAUCUUUCAGUAACACUGACAAGUUCUUACAAAAAUUCCAACAUUAUUGCAAACAUUGAAUGCAACACUUACCGUAACCUAGCAACUAACCCACAAUGCAUUGUGUUGAGGAGACGCGUUUGAAAAGUUAACAUUAGCAGUUCUAUACAGGCGAAAAGGGCAGCAUGUCUUUUUCUAUCCUGAAACGACAAAUCGGCGAGGAAAACCGUCGGUUUAAUCCUGCGUGGACUGACAAGUAUUUAUUUAUUUACCACCAAGUCCGAACGCCAAACCAAUGCGUUUACUCUGCAACGAGUGCUUUGCAGCGCUGAAAGAUUAUCAUGUCCGAAGACACCACAUUGGAAAAACAUGCUGCGUUUCGGACAAACUUUCCCGAGGGAUGUCAUGAGAGAGCGGCUAUAAUUCAGAGUUUGACUGCAUCUUACAACCGGAGCUGUACUACAAUGAAGCGGACCUGCACAGCUCAGGAAAGGGCCACGAAAAAGAGGCUGUUCACAGACUCAGAAACUGUGAAGGACUGCAUGUUGGCUGUCGUGGAUGAAGUUUUAACGGACGAUAAAGUUAAGACGAGUGUGACAUCUGCUAUCAAACAGGUCUGACACGUCAAACAUUCUCGCCACAGAUGUCUUCGAGACAUGGACUCCAUAGAGAUCAAUAAUUAAACAUGGCUAAUGGGCUGCAGGCUGCAGUCGGGGACAUCUGUCUGACUCUGUGAGGAAACCAGACUGAGCAUGCUCAGUUCAGCCGGAUCACAACGAGGUCAGAGCCUCCAUAUGACCUGCCGACCUCCAAAGACACGACAUCAGCGGAGAUUAAAUAUUAAUGCUACUGAUGUUGAUUCCUCUGAUUCAAUAGUAACUUUGACAUUGAUACUUUAAAAAAAUUAUUUUUUAAACAAUACGACCAAACCUGCUCCGCAUUUUCCAUAAUUCAAGAUAAUUUCAAAACAAAACUCAGAAUAAAGAAUGAGUCCAGGCUAAUGAAAAUGAGUCAGUCCUGGAGUUGAAAUUAA
This is a long non-coding RNA of Amphiprion ocellaris (clown anemonefish), 1041 nucleotides long. RefSeq lists it as uncharacterized. The record is from RefSeq and is a predicted model, not a curated record. NCBI's taxonomy places the organism in Eukaryota, Metazoa, Chordata, Actinopteri, Pomacentridae. The transcript is spliced from 2 exons.